Molecule: ribosomal RNA, 495 nt
Filed under: uncultured bacterium
Lineage: Bacteria
Description: partial 16S ribosomal RNA
Rfam family: Bacterial small subunit ribosomal RNA
Source: RNAcentral
GACGAACGCUGGCGGCGUGCCUAAUACAUGCAAGUAGAACGCUGAAGGAGGAGCUUGCUUCUCUGGAUGAGUUGCGAACGGGUGAGUAACGCGUAGGUAACCUGCCUGGUAGCGGGGGAUAACUAUUGGAAACGAUAGCUAAUACCGCAUAAUAGUAGAUGUUGCAUGACAUUUGCUUAAAAGGUGCAACUGCAUCACUACCAGAUGGACCUGCGUUGUAUUAGCUAGUUGGUGGGGUAACGGCUCACCAAGGCGACGAUACAUAGCCGACCUGAGAGGGGGAUCGGCCACACUGGGACUGAGACACGGCCCAGACUCCUACGGGAGGCAGCAGUAGGGAAUCUUCGGCAAUGGACGGAAGUCUGACCGAGCAACGCCGCGUGAGUGAAGAAGGUUUUCGGAUCGUAAAGCUCUGUUGUAAGAGAAGAACGAGUGUGAGAGUGGAAAGUUCACACUGUGACGGUAUCUUACCAGAAAGGGACGGCUAACUACGUG